This is a long non-coding RNA of Mus musculus (house mouse), 678 nucleotides long. RefSeq annotates it as predicted gene, 40392. The transcript is spliced from 4 exons. NCBI's taxonomy places the organism in Eukaryota, Metazoa, Chordata, Mammalia, Rodentia, Muridae. The record is from RefSeq and is a predicted model, not a curated record.
UAGAGGAGGCAAACAUUUACUGUGGCUUGGUUCAAGGUCUACAGUCUGCCAAGGUGGGAAAAGUGUGGUGGGAAAAGCAUUGCACCAAGGAGGAGACAGAAGCAGUGGUCACGGGAACAUGCUCACGCCUAGGAGGAUGAGGAAGCAGGAAAGGAGCAAACGGGUGUCAAGACUUUGUUCUCCUUUGUUUUAAAUUCUGUCUGGAACUCCAACCUGUGUGAUAAUGAUGUCAACAUUUCCAUCUCAGUUGUUUCGAGUAACACCUUGACACAUUAUACCCAAAGCCGCUUGUUCCACAGAUGCACCAUGCUGCGAAGGUCCUCAGGUAGCUCUUGGCAGCACAUCUGGAGCCUUCAACCAAGAGCUAGGACACUUAUUUGCCAGUCCAGUAAGACAGCCACCUCUUGGUGGAGUCUCCACAUGCAGUCAAGACUUCACAUGAUAAUAAGAGCAGCUGACAUGACUCCAGGAACUCCAGGGGCUCCAGGUUUCUAGGAUUGCUUUGCUUCUACAAGAGUCCAGAGCAAAGAGAGAAAGAAGUGAACUAAGUAUGUCCAGUGGAAUGGACCUGGCUGGUCUAGGAGUGUCUGUGAGAGAGGAGAGAACAGAAGAAGACAGAACACAGAGCAAACACAGUUUCAUGGUAUGGUGAACCCCAUUGGACAUGGUACAGCACCG